RNAcentral lists this ribosomal RNA (405 nucleotides) under uncultured bacterium. RNAcentral describes it as "bacterial SSU rRNA". It matches the Rfam family "Bacterial small subunit ribosomal RNA", at positions 341 to 763 of the family's 1533-position model. The record is from RNAcentral.
ACGGGAGGCAGCAGUGGGGAAUAUUGGACAAUGGGGGCAACCCUGAUCCAGCCAUGCCGCGUGUGUGAUGACGGCCUUAGGGUUGUAAAGCACUUUCAGCAGUGAAGAUAAUGACAUUAACUGCAGAAGAAGCCCCGGCUAACUUCGUGCCAGCAGCCGCGGUAAUACGAAGGGGGCUAGCGUUGUUCGGAAUCACUGGGCGUAAAGCGUACGUAGGCGGACUGAUAAGUUAGGGGUGAAAUCCCAAGGCUCAACCUUGGAACUGCCUUUGAUACUGUCAGUCUUGAGAUCGAGAGAGGUGAGUGGAACUCCGAGUGUAGAGGUGAAAUUCGUAGAUAUUCGGAAGAACACCAGUGGCGAAGGCGGCUCACUGGCUCGAUACUGACGCUGAGGUACGAAAGCGUG